GUGGGGAAUAUUGGGCAAUUGGCGAAAGCCUGACCCAGCAACGCCGCGUGAAGGAAGAAGGUUUUCGGAUCGUAAACUUCUAUCCUUGGUGAAGAUAAUGACGGUAGCCAAGAAGGAAGCCCCGGCUAACUACGUGCCAGCAGCCGCGGUAAUACGUAGGGGGCAAGCGUUGUCCGGAAUGAUUGGGCGUAAAGGGCGCGUAGGCGGCCCGGUAAGUCUGAAGUGAAAGUCCUGCUUUUAAGGUGGGAAUUGCUUUGGAUACUGUCGGGCUUGAGUGCAGGAGAGGUAAGCGGAAUUCCCGGUGUAGCGGUGAAAUGCGUAGAGAUCGGGAGGAACACCAGUGGCGAAGGCGGCUUACUGGACUGUAACUGACGCUGAGGCGCGAAAGUGUGGGGAGCAAACAGGAUUAGAAACCCGGGUAGUCC
Molecule: ribosomal RNA, 425 nt
Filed under: uncultured bacterium
Lineage: Bacteria
Description: partial 16S ribosomal RNA
Rfam family: Bacterial small subunit ribosomal RNA
Source: RNAcentral